CACGGGGGGAGCAAGCGUUGUUCGGAAUCACUGGGCGUAAAGCGUGCGCAGGCGGUUCGUUGUGUCGGUGGUGAAAGCCCCGGGCUUAACCUGGGAAUGGCCAUGGAAACUGGCGAACUGGAGUGUGGCAGAGGGGGGUGGAAUUCCGCGUGUAGCAGUGAAAUGCGUAGAGAUGCGGAGGAACACCGAUGGCGAAGGCAGCCCCCUGGGCUAGCACUGACGCUCAGGCACGAAAGCGUGGGGAGCAAACAGG
RNAcentral lists this ribosomal RNA (253 nucleotides) under uncultured bacterium. Its description in RNAcentral is "partial 16S ribosomal RNA". It matches the Rfam family "Bacterial small subunit ribosomal RNA", at positions 524 to 776 of the family's 1533-position model. The record is from RNAcentral.